This 450-nucleotide ribosomal RNA is filed under the name uncultured Glomeromycotina. Its description in RNAcentral is "SSU rRNA". It matches the Rfam family "Eukaryotic small subunit ribosomal RNA", at positions 569 to 1017 of the family's 1831-position model. Lineage: Eukaryota; Fungi; Glomeromycota. The record is from RNAcentral.
UGCAGCCGCGGUAAUUCCAGCUCCAAUAGCGUAUAUUAAAGUUGUUGCAGUUAAAAAGCUCGUAGUUGAAUUUCGGGAUUGACACAUCGGUCGUGCCUUAAGGGGUAUGAACUGGUGUAGUCAAUUUCUCACCUUCUGGAGAACCGCGAUGCCCUUAAUUGGGUGUCGCGGGGAACCAGGACCUUUACUUUGAAAAGAUUAGAGUGUUUAAAGCAGGCAUUUUGCUUGAAUACAUUAGCAUGGAAUAAUAAAAUAGGACGGCAUGAUUCUAUUUUGUUGGUUUCUAGGAUCACCGUAAUGAUUAAUAGGGAUAGUUGGGGGCAUUAGUAUUCAAUUGUCAGAGGUGAAAUUCUUGGAUUUAUUGAAGACUAACUACUGCGAAAGCAUUUGCCAAGGAUGUUUUCAUUAAUCAAGAACGAAAGUUAGGGGAUCGAAGACGAUCAGAUACCG